AUAUGGUGCUACAUACUUCUAAGAACUGCCUCUUAAAUGGUUUCCUGAGGAGUGGAUGGAGGGACCAUUGCAGAUUAUGAAGCCUCACAGUUUUCCCUUUUACCUAGGAGGCCCUUUUGAAGUUUAAGGAUGCUCCAUUUAACCCUGCUGAAACCCUAAGCAGAUCUUUGAAACUCUUUAUGCCACCCUUUGACAGGUGGUAUAAAAAAAUGCAAGAGUCAAGCCUUCAAUCCUCUUUCCAGAUCAGUGGAGACUCUAGUAUGGCAGCAGCUACUAUUUGCUAAUACUACAUUGAAGAGGAGUACAUAAAUGCCUCAACAUAACUAAGAAUCUGCUCCGUUGGCCCACCGCAGGAUUGUAAUAAAAGGUUCAUUCUGAAAUGAAUUUGCAUAUCUAAGGGCAGUUUUCCUAAGUACAUACAACUAGAAAUAAGAACCAUUCAUAAUUUUUCUCUGGCCCAUUUCUCUACCCUUUCCCUGCAUAUGU
This is a long non-coding RNA of Alligator sinensis (Chinese alligator), 486 nucleotides long. RefSeq lists it as uncharacterized. Lineage: Eukaryota; Metazoa; Chordata; Crocodylia; Alligatoridae. The transcript has 3 exons. The record is from RefSeq and is a predicted model, not a curated record.